This 486-nucleotide ribosomal RNA is filed under the name uncultured bacterium. RNAcentral's name for it is "partial 16S ribosomal RNA". It matches the Rfam family "Bacterial small subunit ribosomal RNA", at positions 30 to 507 of the family's 1533-position model. The record is from RNAcentral.
AUUGAACGCUGGCGGCAUGCCUUACACAUGCAAGUCGAACGGCAGCACGGGUGCUUGCACCUGGUGGCGAGUGGCGAACGGGUGAGUAAUACAUCGGAACAUGUCCUGUAGUGGGGGAUAGCCCGGCGAAAGCCGGAUUAAUACCGCAUACGAUCUACGGAUGAAAGCGGGGGACCUUCGGGUCUCGCGCUAUAGGGUUGGCCGAUGGCUGAUUAGCUAGUUGGUGGGGUAAAGGCCUACCAAGGCGACGAUCAGUAGCUGGUCUGAGAGGACGACCAGCCACACUGGGACUGAGACACGGCCCAGACUCCUACGGGAGGCAGCAGUGGGGAAUUUUGGACAAUGGGCGAAAGCCUGAUCCAGCAAUGCCGCGUGUGUGAAGAAGGCCUUCGGGUUGUAAAGCACUUUUGUCCGGAAAGAAAUCCUUGGCUCUAAUACAGUCGGGGGAUGACGGUACCGGAAGAAUAAGCACCGGCUAACUACGUG